This 220-nucleotide unclassified non-coding RNA is filed under the name uncultured fungus. RNAcentral's name for it is "partial contains 18S rRNA, ITS1, 5.8S rRNA, ITS2 and 28S rRNA". Lineage: Eukaryota; Fungi. The record is from RNAcentral.
AAGGAUCAUUAUUGAAAGCUUUUCUAGCUUUUACACCCCAUUGUUUACCUCCCAUGUUGCUUUCACUAGACAGGUUCGGCUCGUAAGAGCAGAAUCCCCUGGCUGAUGCAUCUGCAUUGGCUGGGGAGUGCUGGUGAAAUACCUAAAACCUUUUUAAAAACCUCUGUCUGAAAACAUUUUAUAACAUUAAAAACUUUCAACAACGGAUCUCUAGGCUCUU